ACUUACUAGCCAUGUGAACUUGGGCAAGUGACCUAAUCCUCUGCAUUUCAUCUCUAAAUUGGGGAGAAUAGAAGCAUCUACUUCAUGUAGUAGCCAGGAUUAGAAGAGAUGGGGCCACUUGAGGGAAAAGACCUACCCAAGGGCACAUAAUCUGUACAUGAGAGAGAGCCAGAUGUAACAGACUGAGUACUGGACUUGGGGUUAAACAGACUGUGAAUCUUUCCACCCCAUUGGGAGGAAUAACUGGGCCCUGGAUAGAAUGUGAUGAAUGUAUAUUCUUAAUGAGAAGUGGAAAUAAUUUGUGGUUGAGAGCUGUGCCUCAGAUCAGAGUGACAGGAUACAUGGCUAGGCUAUAUUUUCCAGCAGAUUAAGAGCUGCGGCCCAAGACUCUGAAAUAUGAAGAAAAAAGGAGAAGAUGACAGCAUAUCUUUUUAAAGAAAUAUUUUCCAGCCAAAUGGUGUAGCAGAGGACUUCCAGGAAUUUGUUCUUGUUCUGUAUCAAAGGUGAAGAGUUCGUAGCCUUCAAGGAAACAAGAAACCAUGGGAUGGAGUGAAGGAAGGUGGCCUGGAACCAGCUGCUGAGCCUCUCUGAGCCCCAGUUUCCUCGUCUCUAAAAUGGGGCUGAUCUCCUCUCCCUCAGACUGUUGUUGCAGGAAUUAAAACAGGUGUUGAGUGGGAAAGCAUCAGUCCCAUAGCAAAUGGCCCCUGAGUAGUAGGAUCUGAGUUCUGGUUCUGGUCCUGCUGGGGUAUGGCUGGUUGAGAGGUCAAAGAGGUAAUUAAAGGGAUUGCCAGCUUCAUUAUUGGGAGCUGAGAUUCCAUUUUAGACCAAGAGUGUGACCAAGGUGGUAACCUUAACAUUUCAUUUCUUCAUAUUUAUUUAUUGAGCCGAUAUUUUUCAAG
RNAcentral lists this long non-coding RNA (899 nucleotides) under Homo sapiens (human). RNAcentral's name for it is "HSALNT0292101". Lineage: Eukaryota; Metazoa; Chordata; Mammalia; Primates; Hominidae. The record is from RNAcentral.